GUUUGAUGUCACCUGGCAACUUUUAGUGACUUUUGGAGCUAGUGCUAGCUACUUUCAUUGGAAAACAUUUGGCAACACUGCGCAGGCACAGUACCUGCUCCUCUGCUGGACAAGUACCAUGACGUCAUGGAGGUGUAACACUAUCACUGGAUACCCCUUGAGGACGGGUCGAUCUCCUCUCAGAUAUGGAUCCAGGCUCACGUUACGUGACAGAAUUCAGAUGAAUUGCGUGUCGGGACGUGGAAGCCUCCGACCUUUCUGUCAGCAGCGGACAGACACAAGAUCUGCUCACUUCAUCAGACCGACUGAGACAUGUAUCCCCGUCCUGUCCUCCAUCAGCCCCCCGCUGACUUCAGACGUGUGUGAGGGGCUGAACAGAUGGAGACCGUGUCUGUCUCGCCGGCUCCCGUGACGUGACUCGAUCAGCACGUUCCUCCGGUGUAUGUCACGCUUUGAACGCACCUGAUCCGCCAUAUUAAAAACGUCAUCAUCAGUUCAAUCGACCUUUUUUUUUUUGCCUCUGACGUAAGGACGCUCUUUGAUAAUAUUUUAUUGUGACUCACGAACAGCUCGUUGUACUCAGGACUGAGUUGAAAAGUGAUAUUGAAUGUAACGUUGCUCUUUGUUUGUUAUGUUCCUGUGACAUUAGCAUCCUCUCCUUCAGGCUCCUCUCAUGACGCGAGGUGUGUUUAAGCCUUUUACAGCACUUUUGGGAUCAUGACUCAUGUUCCGGGCCGUGUAGUUUCUCCUGUAUGUCUGGAUGAAAUUACGUGAGGAAACCCGGUGUUGCACCGACGAGCUGAGAACAUGAACUCUGUCAACCCGGAUCCGUGCUCCUGAUUGGACCCGAGCUGUGUACUUCAGGCAGCUUGUUUCGGCUCUUCGACAGCAGCCCGUCGAGAUCAAACUCUGUGUUUUGUCUCUGAACUGGACACGGCUCACAGCGGAGACAUGAAACGUGUCAGUGAGCUUAAAUCAGCUUAAUGGUGAAUUUAAUUGCCAACCAUGCAACCGCUGAUUGCCCCUUGUGCGCUUGCGUGGCGAAAAAAAAAAUUAGAAAUUACGAAUGGAUGCCGUUCAGAGAGGAUAAUAAA
Molecule: long non-coding RNA, 1094 nt
Organism: Acanthopagrus latus (yellowfin seabream)
Lineage: Eukaryota; Metazoa; Chordata; Actinopteri; Spariformes; Sparidae
Exons: 3
Source: RefSeq, a predicted model, not a curated record